AGUUGGGCUCCGGAAUAGUCUUCUUUUGAAGAAGUUUUUCAAGAUUGGCGAGGUGUUUCUUAGUUGACUCAGUUGAAGUAACCGGCUUCAAAGAUUGAGUUGUAGUCGACGCCGAACUGGGUUUCGUUAAAGGAUUUAACGGAGAUUGUUGGCAUCUGAAGCUGCCGCGUCUGGCCUGAACUAGGUGGAGGUGCUCAGCCGGAAGACUUGGGCUGAUCUGCAUAGAUUUAUCGAGCAAGCGAAAGACAGAGAAGGUAAAAGGGAUAUAUGAAGUCGAAAGGAAGGAGAAUAGAACAGCUGGCA
RNAcentral lists this unclassified non-coding RNA (303 nucleotides) under Hevea brasiliensis (rubber tree). Lineage: Eukaryota; Viridiplantae; Streptophyta; Magnoliopsida; Malpighiales; Euphorbiaceae. The record is from RNAcentral.